GAUGAACGCUGGCGGCGUGCCUAAUACAUGCAAGUCGAGCGAACGGACGAGAAGCUUGCUCCUCUGACGUUAGCGGCGGACGGGUGAGUAACACGUGGAUAACCUACCUAUAAGACUGGGAUAACUUCGGGAAACCGGAGCUAAUACCGGAUGAUAUUUUGAACCGCAUGGUUCAAUAGUGAAAGACGGUCUUGCUGUCACUUAUAGAUGGAUCCGCGCCGCAUUAGCUAGUUGGUAAGGUAACGGCUUACCAAGGCAACGAUGCGUAGCCGACCUGAGAGGGUGAUCGGCCACACUGGAACUGAGACACGGUCCAGACUCCUACGGGAGGCAGCAGUAGGGAAUCUUCCGCAAUGGGCGAAAGCCUGACGGAGCAACGCCGCGUGAGUGAUGAAGGUCUUCGGAUCGUAAAACUCUGUUAUUAGGGAAGAACAAAUGUGUAAGUAACUAUGCACGUCUUGACGGUACCUAAUCAGAAAGCCACGGCUAACUACGUG
Molecule: ribosomal RNA, 497 nt
Filed under: uncultured bacterium
Lineage: Bacteria
Description: partial 16S ribosomal RNA
Rfam family: Bacterial small subunit ribosomal RNA
Source: RNAcentral